AAUGCGACUUCGGUCAGAUGACUUUUGAACUUAGUGGCGGACGGGUGAGUAACGCGUGAGCAACCUGCCUUUCUAGGGGGAUAACAUUUGGAAACAGAUGCUAAUACCGCAUAAGAUUACAGUACCGCAUGAUACAGUGAUCAAAGGAGCAAUCCGCUGAAAGAUGGGCUCGCGUCCGAUUAGAUAGUUGGUGAGGUAACGGCUCACCAAGUCGACGAUCGGUAGCCGGACUGAGAGGUUGAACGGCCACAUUGGGACUGAGACACGGCCCAGACUCCUACGGGAGGCAGCAGUGGGGAAUAUUGCACAAUGGGCGAAAGCCUGAUGCAGCAACGCCGCGUGAGGGAAGACGGUUUUCGGAUUGUAAACCUCUGUUUUCGGUGACGAACAAAUGACGGUAACCGAGUAGGAAGCCACGGCUAACUACGUGCCAGCAGCCGCGGUAAUACGUAGGUGGCAAGCGUUAUCCGGAUUUAUUGGGUUUAAAGGGAGCGUAGGCGGGCUUUUAAGUCAGUUGUGAAAGUUUGCGGCUCAACCGUAAAAUUGCAGUUGAUACUGGAAGCCUUGAGUACAGUAUAGGCAGGCGGAAUUCGUGGUGUAGCGGUGAAAUGCUUAGAUAUCACGAAGAACUCCGAUUGCGAAGGCAGCUUGCUGGACUGUAACUGACGCUGAUGCUCGAAAGUGUGGGUAUCAAACAGGAUUAGAUACCCUGGUAGUCCACACAGUAAACGAUGGACACUCGCUGUUGGCGAUAUACGGUCAGCGGCUUAGCGAAAGCGUUAAGUGUCCCACCUGGGGAGUACGCCGGCACGGUGAAACUCAAGGAAUUGACGGGGGCCCG
Molecule: ribosomal RNA, 841 nt
Filed under: uncultured bacterium
Lineage: Bacteria
Description: bacterial SSU rRNA
Rfam family: Bacterial small subunit ribosomal RNA
Source: RNAcentral